GACGAACGCUGGCGGCGUGCUUAACACAUGCAAGUCGAACGGAAAGGCCCUGCUUUUGUGGGGUGCUGGAGUGGCAAACGGGUGAGUAACCCGUGAGUAACCUGCCCUUGACUUUGGGAUAACUUCAGGAAACUGGGGCUAAUACCGGAUAGGAGCUCCUGCUCCAUGGUGGGGGUUGGAAAGUUUCGGCGGCUGGGGAUGGACUCGCGUCUUAUCAGCUUGUUGGUGGGGGAGUGGCUUACCAAGGCUUUGACGGGUAGCCGGCCUUCGGGGGUGACCGGCCGCCUUGGUGCUGCGGUGCGGCCCAGACUCCUCCGGGAGGCAGCAGUGGGGAAUAUUGCACCAUGGGCGGAGGCAUGAUGCAGCAACGCCGCGUGCGGGAUGAAGGCCUUCGGGUUGUAGACCGCUUUCGCCUGUGACGAAGCGUGAGUGACGGUAAUGGGUAAAGAAGCACCGGCUAACUACGUG
RNAcentral lists this ribosomal RNA (468 nucleotides) under uncultured bacterium. RNAcentral's name for it is "partial 16S ribosomal RNA". It matches the Rfam family "Bacterial small subunit ribosomal RNA", at positions 28 to 507 of the family's 1533-position model. The record is from RNAcentral.